Microcebus murinus (gray mouse lemur) is the source of this 418-nucleotide non-coding RNA. NCBI's taxonomy places the organism in Eukaryota, Metazoa, Chordata, Mammalia, Primates, Cheirogaleidae. The record is from RefSeq and is a predicted model, not a curated record.
AUGUCGUCCUUGAUCAGAAGCAUGAUCAGCACCACCAAAGCCCCGGGGGCCAUUGGCCCCUACAGUCAAGCUGUAUUAGUCGACAAGACCGUUUACAUUUCAGGACAGAUAGGCAUGGACCCGUCAAGUGGACAGCUUGUGCCAGGAGGGGUAGAAGAAGCAGCUAAACAAGCUCUUAAAAACAUGGGUGAAAUUCUGAAAGCUGCAGGCUGUGACUUCACUAAUGUGGUAAAAACAACUGUUUUGCUGGCUGACAUAAAUGACUUCAAUACUGUCAAUGACAUCUACAAACAGUAUUUCAAGAGUAAUUAUCCUGCAAGAGCUGCUUACCAGGUUGCCGCUUUGCCUAAAGGAGGCAGAAUUGAAAUUGAAGCAGUAGCUAGCUGUCCGAGGACCUUUCACAACACCAUUGCUAUAA